RNAcentral lists this long non-coding RNA (823 nucleotides) under Cyanistes caeruleus (blue tit). Its description in RNAcentral is "lncRNA (ENSCCEG00000019835.1)". Lineage: Eukaryota; Metazoa; Chordata; Aves; Passeriformes; Paridae. The record is from RNAcentral.
CCCAUGAGCUUCCUCCCUUUCCCAAAAUUAAACCUACCUCUUCACUCUGAAUUUCUGUCUUAAAUCACUUCCUCAUCAUUAUUUUCACCAUUUUCACUUCACGGUUCUUACAGCACUGACUUAUUUUGCUGUCUGUCAUGCCCAGGUGCAAGAGCUGCUCUAUUGUACUGAUGAAAUGCCACUGGUGGUAGCCUGCCAAUGAAACAGAAUAGAGUGGGCCUUUAAAAUAAUUCCUGGGACACUUCCAGGGAUGAAAUGGAGCACUGUGAGCUGAUAAAGUGAAACGCGUUUUUAAGGACUCUCUAUUUUGAAAAGCCUUGAAAAGAAGACAUCUCUUUCUCUGACACAAAGCUGAUAAAAAUAGACCAGACAUAUUCCUUCCCAGCGCAAUCAUAAAGCAACAUUUAAAGCCCUUUGUUUGUUAUUCACAUGGGUGAAUAGAGUCCAGUACCCUUGUGCUGUGCCCAGCAAAGCCUCGGUGAAACACAAGACCAUCACAGACCCUUCUGGAAACUUUGCUGGACAUGUAUGUGGGCAUGGUGUUUGUGUGAGGUUUGGAUCCAUGCUCAAGAGCAAACCUUCUGCCUUUUAAGCCAUUAAACUACAGCUUAUGUUUCUGUAUGCUAAAACCUGAAAGCUGUUUUCCUUUAGUUGUUACUCAGACAGGCUGCCUCUCCUGGUGCUGGGAGCUUGCCUUAGUGAGAAACAUCUGAGAGAAGAUCAGCUUGGUACUUAGAUCACACACAGGGCUGAAGGACAGCAGGCUGAAGGCUACCAAUGUAUAGCUAUCUCACUGGAAAAAUAAAAUAACACCAUUUAAACA